RNAcentral lists this telomerase RNA (434 nucleotides) under Anodorhynchus hyacinthinus (hyacinth macaw). RNAcentral describes it as "Vertebrate telomerase RNA". It matches the Rfam family "Vertebrate telomerase RNA". Rfam says of the family: Telomerase is a ribonucleoprotein reverse transcriptase that synthesises telomeric DNA. Telomerase RNAs differ greatly in sequence and structure between vertebrates, ciliates and yeasts, but they share a 5' pseudoknot structure close to the template sequence. The record is from Rfam by way of RNAcentral. Lineage: Eukaryota; Metazoa; Chordata; Aves; Psittaciformes; Psittacidae.
CGCGUGGCGGAUGGGGAGGCUCCAGUCUCACUAACCCUAAUGGCUGCCGCCGUGCUCCCCGCACCCGUCCGCUGUUUUAUUCGCUGACUUUCAGCGGACGGGGGGAGCCGCCUGGGGGGGAAGGGGUUUGCAAUCAAAAAACGUCAGCGACGGGUCUCCCCAGCCCAGCCCGCCCUGGGGUCUCCGUCCCCCCACGCAGCCGGGGGCCUGCCGCGGAGGCUCCCUCCGCCGCACUUCACGGAGGCCGCGGUCGGCCGGUGUCCGCCACUGCCGCCGCGAAGAGUUCGUCUCUGUCAGCCUCGGCGGCGGUGGGGAGCGAGAGGGCUCGUCCCCGCGCCGGGGACCCCAGCAGAGCAAAACGGAGCGGCGUCCUCGGCACAGCCGCCGCGCUUCCCUCAACCGUGGGAUGCGCGGACGGCGCCGCUUCGACACCC